GGACUGUAGGCUGCAACUCGCCUACACGAAGUCGGAAUCGCUAGUAAUCGCGGAUCAGCAUGCCGCGGUGAAUACGUUCCCGGGCCUUGUAUGCACCGCCCGUCACACCAUGGGAGUUUGUAACGCCCAAAGUCGGUGGCCUAACCUUUAUGGAGGGAGCCGCCUAAGGCGGGACAGAUGACUGGGGUGAAGUCGUAACAAGGUACC
RNAcentral lists this ribosomal RNA (207 nucleotides) under uncultured bacterium. Its description in RNAcentral is "partial 16S ribosomal RNA". It matches the Rfam family "Bacterial small subunit ribosomal RNA", at positions 1295 to 1500 of the family's 1533-position model. The record is from RNAcentral.